Oenanthe melanoleuca is the source of this 3137-nucleotide long non-coding RNA. RefSeq lists it as uncharacterized. NCBI's taxonomy places the organism in Eukaryota, Metazoa, Chordata, Aves, Passeriformes, Muscicapidae. The record is from RefSeq and is a predicted model, not a curated record. The transcript is spliced from 2 exons.
AUUGGCGUGAGGCGCUUUCCGCUUCCGGGUGCCGGUCGCACGCGUGGGGUGCGGCUCCUCCUUGCCGGGCCCUGCGCCAUCGCCGGGAUGGACGGGCCGCGCUUCCCUCCCGCGCCCGCACCGCCGGCUCCGCGGGGAGGGGCCCCUCGAAGACCCCCGGGCCGUGUCGGCGCCUCCGGCCUUCGAGCGGGGUCUCGGUUUUAUCCCGCCGGCGCUUUGGUGGUGCAGGCGGUGGUGGAGCUCCCUCGGGCUGGGUCUGUCUAGGGAUCGAGGGGAGUCCGUGGAGAAGGGGCCGAUGGAGCCGGGCUGCGCUGGGGGAUAGCGGCUGUGCGAGGUGAAGGCAGCGGGCGGCCGCUCUCGGACAGUGCAGGCGGCCGGGGCUGGAUGUGGGCAGCUGGCAACGUGCUGCAUGGGUCUGUCGCCUUCCUGGCUUUGGCUGUGUCUGGGCACCGAUUUGAUUGCGUUCAGUUGCCCGGGUUUGGUUGAUUUUUGAUGGGAUAAAGCAGGCGGUUUGUCCCUAAGAAACUAGCGGUGCUUUGCAUGCUCGAAUUUGGUGCUGAGAGGGGAGACUCGAGUAGUUUUGCACAGCUUGACCUGUCACCCGAGCAGCUGGCAGGGGUGGCAGCGGGAUGGAAAAACGGGAGCUAGUUUGGGCUGGCUGCCUGCUCAAAAGGAUGGUUCAGUCGGUGCUGGAGCAAAGGCAGGACUGCCUGGUGUUAGCCAGAGAAGUGCUGGAUUGGAACGUGUCCUGCAGACGGCCGCCUGUGCAGCCAGCUUUGCUCGGCCUCCUGGGCAGAUGCCCUAUUCUUUCCAAGAACUUGGCGCAGAGCGUGGCGGUCUCCUAAAGCAGCAGGGCCUAUCCUAUAAUGAUUUAAAUCAUCUGUUCAGAAGAAAUAUUAAUGGGAUUCCCAUAAGACUCCUGACAUUUUGCUGAUGUUCCUGUUAGAAGACUUAUCACCUCAUUUUGAAAACACUUGUAAAAGCACAAGUGUUCUAACUGCAGGGCUUAAAUGCUCAGUCAUUCCUAAACUGGUUUAACUUCAGGCAUUCUGCUGCAGAAACAGAAUUUUCAUGUAUAAAUUUGUGGUUUGUUCUCACAUGGUGUACAAGGAGGUGGGCAUCCAAGAAUGAUACUGUCAGCAAAAAGGUUUUUAUUUGUUUUUAAAAAGGGGAGGGCUAAGUUAGGUAGUGAGAAAGAAAAGUCUUAUUGCAGCUUAUCAGAACAGGACACGUCUUCAUGUUCAAGUCUGAUAUCUCUCUGUCAUUCUGAGUUGUGAUAGUGACUGAAAAUGAAGUCCCUUGUUGUGCCCUAACAAUUGAGUUCUAUUUAGGUGGGGGUUUUUUGUUUAUUGAAAUUUUUAAGUGGUAUAGCUUGAGCUCCAGCUCUUUUGCAUGCCAGGUAAAUAAUCUCAGUGUACCAUCACAGUAACAUCUGGCAGCACCAACAUAUCCUCAGUUUUGAGAGCAUUAUGAAUGCUUAAAAUGUACUUACAAUUCUGAGCUGAAAACACAUCUGUGAAAGGUUCCUGGUUAUUUUGGAAAUCUGCUAGUUUUAAAAAGUUGUGCAACAAACAGCCAAAACAUAGAAAUGCUGUGUGGGUUUUACAGGGAAAAUUAACAUUUUUGGAAUCUGAACUGCACCUAACUUCUUAUUUUGGAUCUAACCUGGAGAUCUGGAAGUAAGUUUGUGUCUGAACUGGAUAGGUAAUUAAAGGAUUUAUGGCAUAUUUCUAAGAGGGUGUUUGCAUUAGCUUUAUAAUGCAAUAUUCCAUUUCAUAAAUGAGAGAAGUGAAGGGUAUUUACAAAAUUACCUGUAUCAAUUUAACUGAUGGGGAUAAACAUGACCUAAGGCUUUUUUUUAAUUUAAACCAUGUAAAGAUAGCUUUGAUAGAGAGGCGUCAUGGUAAUCAUCCAAGGAGAAAUGUCUGAGCCCCACAUUUAACAAAUAGAAUGGAAGGUCAUGUUGAGGCUUGAGUGUGUACUACCUUCAAAUGAGGCACUCUUUAGACCAUUUACUUCUUAAUGAUGCUGAUAUCACUGUUUGUCUCUUUUCACUGAGCUUUGUGAGGUGUAGCACUGUCCUGAAGCAAGGACUAGUAUGACCUCUGUAAUAGAGGAGCAGAUUUAUUCUUUGGGAUAAGCAAGCUGCUUGCAAGCUUCUGGCAUAUGAAAAUCUGUUAGAUCCUUGUUUCUGAUUUGCAGAUGGUAGUGGUUCUUUAGUCUUUCAGUAUUAGAGAGGAAGGAUCUAUUUCAUGCAGAACUGAAAAAUACUGCUUCUAAUGAGAACACCUCUUGCCUCUUUUCAUCCAGGAGGUAGGAGUGGUAAAAUCUUUGACGGGCCUUAGAAAAAGACUGGGCAAGCUCAAGAAAAAAAUUGAUCUGCUAAAUGUAAAGACACAGUUAUGGUAUCAAGUCCUGAGCCAUAGAAGGCUGGGGAGUGGGAUUGUGGAUUGUAACUAUAUGCACGUCCUGUUCUUUGCUUCCUGUGCGCUCACUUCUGUCCAGUGUCACAGAAAAAGUGCUGGAAGUGUCUCGGCCUUUAGUAAGGCUGGGAAAACUCCAGGGCAGUGAGUGUAAGAUUCUUGUGCCCCAGUUGAGGUCUGCUGGCACACUCUGUCACAGCAGGGGUGACAGGGGCACUUUCAUUGGCUCAGUUUAUUUUACAAAUGUGCAGGUGCAGUGAGGCACAAGAGCAUCUGCGAUUAUCAUGUAUGUCGUGACCACGAGGGGGCCCUGGCAGCUUGGGUCUGGGUGAGCCUGGAGUUACACACUGCUACAAGGGCAGGGCUGAUUUCUUGGGGCCUCAGUGGUAACAUCCCUUCUUGUUCAGCACUUCUGAAUUACCUUACCUCUUCUAUAUAUAUAUCUUUUUUUUUAAUUAGAGUAUUUUUCAUAUGUAAUUUUAAGAAAUGCAUCUUCUUACAAAACCUCACCUCAGCUGUAAUAAAUAGCACUGGCCAUUUGAUUUUCUCAUCUGUAUGAGCCAUUUCCCCAAGUAAAAAUCUAAGAGUUUUGCACACAUCACUGUAUUUGUAAAGUAGAAGGAAUUGGUAUAAAGAAUCUUAAGGUGUUUUGUAUAUCUUAAAGAGUUUUUAAGCUUGGUACUACAAUAUUUCAAUAAAGAUUCUUUCUCUGCA